GGAGCGUUCAUCUAGCGGUAAGGAUACAGCCCUUUCAAGGCUGUCACACGGGUUCAAAUCCCGUACGCUCUACCA
RNAcentral lists this transfer RNA (75 nucleotides) under Salmonella phage SPAsTU. Its description in RNAcentral is "tRNA-Glu". It matches the Rfam family "tRNA". Rfam says of the family: Transfer RNA (tRNA) molecules are approximately 80 nucleotides in length. Their secondary structure includes four short double-helical elements and three loops (D, anti-codon, and T loops). Further hydrogen bonds mediate the characteristic L-shaped molecular structure. tRNAs have two regions of fundamental functional importance: the anti-codon, which is responsible for specific mRNA codon recognition, and the 3' end, to which the tRNAs corresponding amino acid is attached (by aminoacyl-tRNA synthetases). tRNAs cope with the degeneracy of the genetic code in two manners: having more than one tRNA (with a specific anti-codon) for a particular amino acid; and 'wobble' base-pairing, i.e. permitting non-standard base-pairing at the 3rd anti-codon position. The record is from RNAcentral. Lineage: Duplodnaviria; Heunggongvirae; Uroviricota; Caudoviricetes; Chimalliviridae.